RNAcentral lists this ribosomal RNA (447 nucleotides) under uncultured bacterium. RNAcentral's name for it is "SSU rRNA". It matches the Rfam family "Bacterial small subunit ribosomal RNA", at positions 26 to 518 of the family's 1533-position model. The record is from RNAcentral.
AGAACGAACGCUGGCGGCAGGCUUAACACAUGCAAGUCGAACGCUCGUAGCAAUACGGGAGUGGCAGACGGGUGAGUAACGCGUGGGAACAUACCCUCCGGUUCGGAAUAGCUCAGGGAAACUUGGAUUAAUACCGGAUACGGCUGAGAGGCGAAAGAUUUAUCGCCGGAGGAUUGGCCCGCGUUCGAUUAGCUUGUUGGUGAGGUAACGGCUCACCAAGGCGAUGAUCGAUAGCUGGUCUGAGAGGAUGAUCAGCCACAUUGGGACUGAGACACGGCCCAAACUCCUACGGGAGGCAGCAGUGGGAAUAUUGGACAAUGAGCGCAAGCCUGAUCCAGCCAUGCCGCGUGAGUGAUGACGGCCUUAGGGUUGUAAAGCUCUUUCGCUCGGGACGAUAAUGACGGUACCGAGAUAAGAAGCCCCGGCUAACUUCGUGCCAGCAGCCGC